CCUACGGGGGGCAGCAGUGGGGAAUAUUGGACAAUGGGGGGAACCCUGAUCCAGCGACGCCGCGUGAGUGAAGAAGUAUUUCGGUAUGUAAAGCUCUAUCAGCAGGGAAGAAAAUGACGGUACCUGACCAAGAAGCCCCGGCUAACUACGUGCCAGCAGCCGCGGUAAUACGUAGGGGGCAAGCGUUAUCCGGAUUUACUGGGUGUAAAGGGAGCGUAGACGGUGCAGCAAGUCUGAUGUGAAAGGCCGGGGCCCAACCCCGGGACUGCAUUGGAAACUGUGGAGCUGGAGUACAGGAGAGGUAAGCGGAAUUCGGAGUGUAGCGGUGAAAUGCGUAGAUAUUAGGAGGAACACCAGUGGCGAAGGCGGCUUACCGGACUGUAACUGACGUUGAGGCGCGAAAGCGUGGGGAGCAAACAGGAUUAGAUACCCCAGUAGUC
RNAcentral lists this ribosomal RNA (440 nucleotides) under uncultured bacterium. Its description in RNAcentral is "partial 16S ribosomal RNA". It matches the Rfam family "Bacterial small subunit ribosomal RNA", at positions 338 to 795 of the family's 1533-position model. The record is from RNAcentral.